GACGGAGGAUGCAAGUGUUAUCCGGAAUCACUGGGCGUAAAGCGUCUGUAGGUGGUUUAAUAAGUCAACUGUUAAAUCUUGAGGCUCAACCCUCAAAAUCGCAGUCGAAACUAUUAGGCUAGAGUAUAGUAGGGGUAAAGGGAAUUUCCAGUGGGAGCGGUGAAAUGCGUAGAGAUUGGAAAGAACACCGAUGGCGAAGGCACUUUACUGGGCUAUUACUAACACUCAGAGACGAAAGCUAGGGUAGCAAAUGGGG
RNAcentral lists this ribosomal RNA (256 nucleotides) under uncultured bacterium. RNAcentral describes it as "partial 16S ribosomal RNA". It matches the Rfam family "Bacterial small subunit ribosomal RNA", at positions 524 to 777 of the family's 1533-position model. The record is from RNAcentral.